UGGGUAACCUGCCUCUUGCUCUAGGAUAACUCCGGGAAACCGGGGCUAAUACCGGAUAUUCAUUACCGAUCGCAUGGUUGGUUGUGGAAAGUUUUUCGGCGAGAGAUGGGCCCGCGGCCUAUCAGCUAGUUGGUGGGGUGAUGGCCUACCAAGGCGACGACGGGUAGCCGGCCUGAGAGGGCGACCGGCCACGCUGGGACUGAGACACGGCCCAGACCUCCUACGGGAGCA
This 231-nucleotide ribosomal RNA is filed under the name uncultured bacterium. RNAcentral describes it as "partial 16S ribosomal RNA". It matches the Rfam family "Bacterial small subunit ribosomal RNA", at positions 118 to 347 of the family's 1533-position model. The record is from RNAcentral.